GCCUACGGGGCGCAGCAGUGAGGAAUAUUGGUCAAUGGUCGGGAGACUGAACCAGCCAAACCGCGUGAGGGAUGAAGGUACAGAGUAUCGUAAACCUCUUUUGUCAGGGAACAAAGGCGGGGACGUGUCCCCGGAUGAGUGUAACUGAAGAAAAAGCAUCGGCUAACUCCGUGCCAGCAGCCGCGGUAAUACGGAGGAUGCGAGCGUUAUCCGGAUUUAUUGGGUUUAAAGGGUGCGCAGGCGGUCUGUUAAGUCAGCGGUCAAAGCCCGGGGCUCAACCCCGGCCCGCCCGUGGAACUGGCAGG
RNAcentral lists this ribosomal RNA (305 nucleotides) under uncultured bacterium. Its description in RNAcentral is "bacterial SSU rRNA". It matches the Rfam family "Bacterial small subunit ribosomal RNA", at positions 337 to 640 of the family's 1533-position model. The record is from RNAcentral.